This 253-nucleotide ribosomal RNA is filed under the name uncultured bacterium. Its description in RNAcentral is "partial 16S ribosomal RNA". It matches the Rfam family "Bacterial small subunit ribosomal RNA", at positions 524 to 776 of the family's 1533-position model. The record is from RNAcentral.
UACGUAGGUUCCGAGCGUUAUCCGGAUUUACUGGGCGUAAAGCGCGUUCAGGCGGUUCGGCAAGUCGGGCAUGAAAUCUCUCGGCUCAACCGGGAGAGGUUGUCCGAUACUGCUGGACUUGAGGGCAGUAGAGGGUGGUGGAAUUCCGGGUGUAGUGGUGAAAUGCGUAGAUAUCCGGAGGAACACCAGUGGCGAAAGCGGCCACCUGGACUGUACCUGACGCUCAAACGCGAAAGCUAGGGGAGCGAACGGG